This 906-nucleotide ribosomal RNA is filed under the name Boletellus shoreae. RNAcentral's name for it is "Boletellus sp. AP-2018a partial large subunit ribosomal RNA". It matches the Rfam family "Eukaryotic large subunit ribosomal RNA", at positions 83 to 985 of the family's 3401-position model. Lineage: Eukaryota; Fungi; Basidiomycota; Agaricomycetes; Boletales; Boletaceae. The record is from RNAcentral.
GUAACUGCGAGUGAAGCGGGAAAAGCUCAAAUUUUGAAUCUGGCGGUCCGCGAGGUCGUCCGAGUUGUAAUCUAGAGAAGCGUCUUCCGCGCUGGACCGUGUACAAGUCUCCUGGAAGGGAGCGUCAUAGAGGGUGAGAAUCCCGUCUUUGACACGGACUGCCAGGGCUAUGUGAUGCGCUCUCGACGAGUCGAGUUGUUUGGGAAUGCAGCUCAAAACGGGUGGUAAAUUCCAUCUAAAGCUAAAUACAGGCGAGAGACCGAUAGCGAACAAGUACCGUGAGGGAAAGAUGAAAAGAACUUUGGAAAGAGAGUUAAACAGUACGUGAAAUUGCUGAAAGGGAAACGCUUGACGUCAGUCGCGUUGGCCGGGGAUCAACCUUGCUUCUCGCUGGGUGCACUUCCUGGCUGACGGGUCAGCAUCAGUUUCGAUCGGGAUAGAAUGGCCAAGGGAACGUGGCACUCUUCGGAGUGUGUUAUAGCCCAUGGUCGUAUGUGUCGAUGGGGACCGAGGAACUCGGCACGACUCCGGUCUGUGUCUAGGAUGCUGGCAUAAUGGCGUUAAGCGACCCGUCUUGAAACACGGACCAAGGAGUCUAACAUGCCUGCGAGUGUUUGGGUGGCAAACCCGAGCGCGAAACGAAGUGAAAGUCGAGACCUCUGUCAUGGAGGGCACCGACGCCCGGACCUGAGUCUUUGACGACGGAUCUGCGGUAGAGCAUGCAUGUUGGGACCCGAAAGAUGGUGAACUAUGCCUGAAUAGGGUGAAGCCAGAGGAAACUCUGGUGGAGGCUCGUAGCGAUUCUGACGUGCAAAUCGAUCGUCGAAUUUGGGUAUAGGGGGCGAGAGACUAAUCGAAUCCAUCUAGUAGCUGGUUCCUGCCGAAGUUCCCCCUUCAGGGAGUAGG